RNAcentral lists this unclassified non-coding RNA (329 nucleotides) under soil metagenome. Its description in RNAcentral is "partial contains 5.8S ribosomal RNA, internal transcribed spacer 2, and large subunit ribosomal RNA". The stretch from base 1 to 120 matches the Rfam family "5.8S ribosomal RNA", at positions 35 to 154 of the family's 154-position model. The record is from RNAcentral.
GAUGAAGAACGCAGCGAAAUGCAAUAAGUAAUGUGAAUUGCAGAAUUCAGUGAAUCAUCGAAUCUUUGAACGCACAUUGCGCCCCCUGGUAUUCCGGGGGGCAUGCCUGUCCGAGCGUCAUUACAACCCUCAAGCUCAGCUUGGUGUUGGGCCCCGCCGCCCCGGCGGGCCCUAAAGUCAGUGGCGGUGCCGUCCGGCUCCGAGCGUAGUAAUUCUUCUCGCUCUGGAGGUCCGGUCGUGUGCUCGCCAGCAACCCCCAAUUUUUUUCAGGUUGACCUCGGAUCAGGUAGGGAUACCCGCUGAACUUAAGCAUAUCAAUAAGCGGAGGA